GAUGAACGCUGGCGGCGUGCCUAAUACAUGCAAGUCGAGCGAACGGACGAGAAGCUUGCUUCUCUGAUGUUAGCGGCGGACGGGUGAGUAACACGUGGAUAACCUACCUAUAAGACUGGGAUAACUUCGGGAAACCGGAGCUAAUACCGGAUAAUAUUUUGAACCGCAUGGUUCAAAAGUGAAAGACGGUCUUGCUGUCACUUAUAGAUGGAUCCGCGCUGCAUUAGCUAGUUGGUAAGGUAACGGCUUACCAAGGCAACGAUGCAUAGCCGACCUGAGAGGGUGAUCGGCCACACUGGAACUGAGACACGGUCCAGACUCCUACGGGAGGCAGCAGUAGGGAAUCUUCCGCAAUGGGCGAAAGCCUGACGGAGCAACGCCGCGUGAGUGAUGAAGGUCUUCGGAUCGUAAAACUCUGUUAUUAGGGAAGAACAUAUGUGUAAGUAACUGUGCACAUCUUGACGGUACCUAAUCAGAAAGCCACGGCUAACUACGUGCCAGCAGCCGCGGUAAUACGUAGGUGGCAAGCGUUAUCCGGAAUUAUUGGGCGUAAAGCGCGCGUAGGCGGUUUUUUAAGUCUGAUGUGAAAGCCCACGGCUCAACCGUGGAGGGUCAUUGGAAACUGGAAAACUUGAGUGCAGAAGAGGAAAGUGGAAUUCCACGUGUAGCGGUGAAAUGCGCAGAGAUAUGGAGGAACACCAGUGGCGAAGGCGACUUUCUGGUCUGUAACUGACGCUGAUGUGCGAAAGCGUGGGGAUCAAACAGGAUUAGAUACCCUGGUAGUCCACGCCGUAAACGAUGAGUGCUAAGUGUUAGGGGGUUUCCGCCCCUUAGUGCUGCAGCUAACGCAUUAAGCACUCCGCCUGGGGAGUACGACCGCAAGGUUGAAACUCAAAGGAAUUGACGGGGACCCGCACAAGCGGUGGAGCAUGUGGUUUAAUUCGAAGCAACGCGAAGAACCUUACCAAAUCUUGACAUCCUUUGACAACUCUAGAGAUAGAGCCUUCCCCUUCGGGGGACAAAGUGACAGGUGGUGCAUGGUUGUCGUCAGCUCGUGUCGUGAGAUGUUGGGUUAAGUCCCGCAACGAGCGCAACCCUUAAGCUUAGUUGCCAUCAUUAAGUUGGGCACUCUAAGUUGACUGCCGGUGACAAACCGGAGGAAGGUGGGGAUGACGUCAAAUCAUCAUGCCCCUUAUGAUUUGGGCUACACACGUGCUACAAUGGACAAUACAAAGGGCAGCGAAACCGCGAGGUCAAGCAAAUCCCAUAAAGUUGUUCUCAGUUCGGAUUGUAGUCUGCAACUCGACUACAUGAAGCUGGAAUCGCUAGUAAUCGUAGAUCAGCAUGCUACGGUGAAUACGUUCCCGGGUCU
RNAcentral lists this ribosomal RNA (1372 nucleotides) under uncultured bacterium. RNAcentral describes it as "bacterial SSU rRNA". It matches the Rfam family "Bacterial small subunit ribosomal RNA", at positions 28 to 1381 of the family's 1533-position model. The record is from RNAcentral.